CGCACAUUGCGCCCAUUAGUAUUCUAGUGGGCAUGCCUGUUCGAGCGUCAUUACAACCCUUAAGCCCUAGUUGCUUAGCGUUGGGAGCUUUCCGCCUCUGGCAGAAACUUCUUAAAGUUAUUGGCGGGGUUACGACAUACUCUAAGCGUAGUAAUCAUUAUCUCGCUUCUGACGGUGUCGUGACAGUCGCCAUAAACCUCUAUUUUCUAGUGGUUGACCUCGGAUCAGGUAGGAAUACCCGCUGAACUUAA
This 251-nucleotide unclassified non-coding RNA is filed under the name Annulohypoxylon sp. RNAcentral describes it as "partial contains 5.8S ribosomal RNA, internal transcribed spacer 2, and large subunit ribosomal RNA". Lineage: Eukaryota; Fungi; Ascomycota; Sordariomycetes; Xylariales; Hypoxylaceae. The record is from RNAcentral.